Molecule: ribosomal RNA, 443 nt
Filed under: uncultured bacterium
Lineage: Bacteria
Description: partial 16S ribosomal RNA
Rfam family: Bacterial small subunit ribosomal RNA
Source: RNAcentral
CCUACGGGCGGCUGCAGUGGGGAAUAUUGGGCAAUGGGCGCAAGCCUGACCCAGCAACGCCGCGUGAAGGAAGAAGGCUUUCGGGUUGUAAACUUCUUUUCUCAGGGACGAAGAAAGUGACGGUACCUGAGGAAUAAGCCACGGCUAACUACGUGCCAGCAGCCGCGGUAAUACGUAGGCGGCAAGCGUUAUCCGGAUUUAUUGGGGGUAAAGGGCGUGUAGGCGGGAGCGCAAGUCAGAUGUGAAAACUCAGGGCUCAACCCUGAGCCUGCAUUUGAAACUGUGUUGCUUGAGUGCUGGAGAGGCAAUCGGAAUUCCGUGUGUAGCGGUGAAAUGCGUAGAUAUACGGAGGAACACCAGUGGCGUAAGCGCUUUACUGGGCCGUAAUUGACACUGAGGAACGAAAGCCGGGGUAGCAAAUGGGAUUAGAUACCCUAGUAGUC